GACGAACGCUGGCGGCGUGCCUAAUACAUGCAAGUAGAACGCUGAAGGAGGAGCUUGCUUCUCUGGAUGAGUUGCGAACGGGUGAGUAACGCGUAGGUAACCUGCCUGGUAGCGGGGGAUAACUAUUGGAAACGAUAGCUAAUACCGCAUAAGAGUAGAUGUUGCAUGACAUUUUCUUAAAAGGUGCAAUUGCAUCACUACCAGAUGGACCUGCGUUGUAUUAGCUAGUUGGUGAGGUAACGGCUCCCCAAGGCAACGAUACAUAGCCGAACGGAGAGGGUGACUGGACACACUGGGAGUGAGACACGGCACAACGUCCUAGGGGAGGCAGAAGAAGGGAUGAUUAGGAAAGGAACGGGAGAGUGACCCAGCAACGCCGAGUAAGUGAAGAAGAUUUUCGGGUCGGAGAGCACGGUUGUAAGAGUAGAAAGAGUGUGAGGUUGGAAAGUUCACAAUGUGACGGUACCUUACCAGAAAGGGACGGCUAACUACGUG
Molecule: ribosomal RNA, 495 nt
Filed under: uncultured bacterium
Lineage: Bacteria
Description: partial 16S ribosomal RNA
Rfam family: Bacterial small subunit ribosomal RNA
Source: RNAcentral